Molecule: long non-coding RNA, 362 nt
Filed under: Fukomys damarensis (Damara mole-rat)
Lineage: Eukaryota; Metazoa; Chordata; Mammalia; Rodentia; Bathyergidae
Description: lncRNA (ENSFDAG00000021559.1)
Source: RNAcentral
GAGGUUAUUAUGAGUGUUUGAACAGGUAACUUUUACCUUUGGACCUCGAUUGCAACAGGUUCAAAGUUUCUAGAGGAGCUUGCUGAGCACCCUCAGGUCUGGACACAGUGCUUGAAGGUGUGGCCCAGUCCCAGGAGUUGUGGAAAAGGCAGGAGUGACUGAACGUGGUACUGAGUCAGUAUAGCCACUCGUGUGAGGAGCGUUCCUAUACCCAGGACCCUGGUCAGAUCCUGAUCGGUAUUCCUACAAGGGGGCUCCCUGGAGACCGAGGUCAGCCAGGGCGCAUUCUCCAAGGUUGUGGCACCUCAUCCUGACCUUUUCAGCUGGACGCCCUGAGGACCUGCCCUCUACAGAAAGAAAAA